CUUAAUAAAAAAGUCAGUAAGUUGAUACGUUUUCCAUUUUAUUUACUCGUGUAAUAAAAUAAUGUAUAUAAACGGUUUGAACUAAUCGACGUCAGUAACCGUAGGUUGUAGAUUAACAUUCCAACGCUUAGUUAGUUUUUUACGCACAAAAACUACAUAUAAAUGUAUCUAGUCUGCCGUUAAGAUCUGGACGUUUAUUCGAAAAUAAAUUUUACGCGCAGUAGAAUAAGGUCGAUAUUGAUAUAGAGUGUAGAAUCGUCACAAAUAUUACGUUCAUACAAACGCAACAUAUACUUAGUGUAGCUAGUUGAAAUUAAUGUUUCGAGUAGAUUAAAGCAUGUACGCAACACAUGUUCUUGCCUUGAAUUAAAAUAAUUGUCGUUAGUUAAUUAGGUCUUCUAAUCGAAGUUAAAUAAUAUAAUUGCAGUCUUCCUCCCUUACUCUGUCGAAGAUUUUUAAAGGCCUAAAGAAAUUCUAAAGAAACGUAGAACCUUAUUACAAUAACCGAAUCAAAUCGAAAAGCAAUAAUAAUCUAAAUAGUUAUUAUUGCGUAAACUAAAUGUUAUCUUCGACGAAAAUAAUCAUAACUUGUCAUCUUUACAAUCUGCG
This 609-nucleotide unclassified non-coding RNA is filed under the name Melitaea cinxia (Glanville fritillary). RNAcentral describes it as "misc RNA ENSMCXG00005000272.1". Lineage: Eukaryota; Metazoa; Arthropoda; Insecta; Lepidoptera; Nymphalidae. The record is from RNAcentral.